GACGAACGCUGGCGGCGCGCUUAACACAUGCAAGUCGAGCGAGAACCAGACCUUCGGGUCUGGGGACAGCGGCGAACGGGUGAGUAACACGUGGGUAAUCAACCCUCGACACUGGGAUAGCCCGGGGAAACCCGGAUUAAUACCGGAUGGCCCUUCGGAUCUUCGGUUCUGAAGGAAAAGGUAGCUUCGGCCUCCGGUCGAGGACGAGCCCGCGGCGGAUUAGCUGGUUGGUGGGGUAACGGCCUACCAAGGCUGCGAUCCGUAGCUGGUCUGAGAGGACGAUCAGCCACACUGGGACUGAGACACGGCCCAGACUCCUACGGGGGGCCGCAGUGGGGAAUCUUGCGCUAAUGCGGGAAACCGUGACGCAGCGACGCCGCGUGAGGGAAGAAGGCCUUCGGGUUGUAAACCUCUUUCAGGAGGGACGAAGCUACUCGGGUUAAUAGCCCAGAGGGUGACGGUACCUCCAGAAGAAGCCCCGGCUAACUACGUGCCAGCCGCCGCAGUAA
RNAcentral lists this ribosomal RNA (509 nucleotides) under uncultured bacterium. Its description in RNAcentral is "partial 16S ribosomal RNA". It matches the Rfam family "Bacterial small subunit ribosomal RNA", at positions 28 to 523 of the family's 1533-position model. The record is from RNAcentral.